CCAAAUAGACGUCUACAAUGCGU
RNAcentral lists this non-coding RNA (23 nucleotides) under Arabidopsis thaliana (thale cress). Lineage: Eukaryota; Viridiplantae; Streptophyta; Magnoliopsida; Brassicales; Brassicaceae. The record is from RNAcentral.